This 684-nucleotide ribosomal RNA is filed under the name Triticum aestivum (bread wheat). RNAcentral describes it as "partial small subunit ribosomal RNA". Lineage: Eukaryota; Viridiplantae; Streptophyta; Magnoliopsida; Poales; Poaceae. The record is from RNAcentral.
AUGACAAGCAAUAUAGCCGAAUGGUUCAAUAGGGUGCUCAAAGGUGCACGUGGAUUACCCGUGACGGCAAUAGUUCAACACACAUUUGACAAGAUGAAUGCGUACUUUCUAAAGUACUCGAUGGAAAUGGAUGCACAGAUAGCGGGUGAGAACAAUUGCAAGUACAAGUACAAGUUCCCACCCAAGGUUGAUGACUAGUGGUUGGAAUUUCAAUCACGGAAGGCGGACCCAGAAUAAGCUAUACUAUAUGACAACGAAGAGUGGAAGUACGAAGUGAAAGAACCGGGAGGAACCACAAACGAUGGCCGCCAAUAUGGAGGUUGGGAUUUCAAGGUGUCACUAACACGUUGUGAUUGCUCUUGCGGGAGGCCAUUGUUGCUUCAUCUCCCAUGCCCACACAUGUAUACCACCGGUCGUGUUAGGAAUGUGGACGUCAAUCACCCACUCACCAUGAGGGAGUCGGAGUUCUCAAUCAUGACGGUUAAGAAAACAUGGAGAGAGAGAAUGUACCGUGAGUGUCGCGCUAGGGAGCAUGCAUUGAAGAGGAAAUGUGAGGAGGCACAGAAGAAGCGUCUCAAGGAUUUUCCAGAAAGAACCUUGAACUUUGGGCAUUUGAAGAUGAAACAAAAGAGAGGGAGAACAAGAUAUUCAUGGAGAGGGUGGUUAAGGAGGCUCACCGCAUAA